AUUGCUGGCGACCGGCGCACGGGUGAGUAACACGUAUCCAACCUGCCGAUAACUCGGGGAUAGCCUUUCGAAAGAAAGAUUAAUACCCGAUGGCAUAAUUAGACCGCAUGGUCUUAUUAUUAAAGAAUUUCGGUUAUCGAUGGGGAUGCGUUCCAUUAGGCAGUUGGUGAGGUAACGGCUCACCAAACCUUCGAUGGGUAGGGGUUCUGAGAGGAAGGUCCCCCACAUUGGAACUGAGACACGGUCCAA
This 249-nucleotide ribosomal RNA is filed under the name uncultured bacterium. Its description in RNAcentral is "partial 16S ribosomal RNA". It matches the Rfam family "Bacterial small subunit ribosomal RNA", at positions 84 to 334 of the family's 1533-position model. The record is from RNAcentral.